This 470-nucleotide ribosomal RNA is filed under the name uncultured bacterium. RNAcentral describes it as "bacterial SSU rRNA". It matches the Rfam family "Bacterial small subunit ribosomal RNA", at positions 329 to 795 of the family's 1533-position model. The record is from RNAcentral.
AGCCAGACUCCUACGGGAGGCAGCAGUGAGGAAUAUUGGUCAAUGGGCGCGAGCCUGAACCAGCCAAGUCGCGUGAGGGAUGACGGCCCUACGGGUUGUAAACCUCUUUUGCCGGGGAGCAACGGGCGCCACGUGUGGCGCCACUGAGAGUACCCGGAGAAAAAGCAUCGGCUAACUCCGUGCCAGCAGCCGCGGUAAUACGGAGGAUGCGAGCGUUAUCCGGAUUUAUUGGGUUUAAAGGGUGCGUAGACGGCAGCGCAAGUCUGGAGUGAAAUCCCAUGGCUUAACCAUGGAACUGCCUUGGAAACUGUGCAGCUGGAGUGCAGGAGAGGUAAGCGGAAUUCCUAGUGUAGCGGUGAAAUGCGUAGAGAUUAGGAAGAACACCAGUGGCGAAGGCGACUUACUGGACUGUAACUGACGCUGAGGCAUGAGGGCAUGGGGAGCAAACAGGAUUAGAUACCCGCGUAGAC